GGUUAAGUGAAUAAGGGCGCACGGUGGAUGCCUUGGCACUAGGAGCCGAUGAAGGACGGGACUAACACCGAUAUGCUUUGGGGAGCUGUAAGUAAGCUAUGAUCCAGAGAUUUCCGAAUGGGGGAACCCAAUAUCUUUUAUAGGAUAUUACUUUUCAGUGAAUACAUAGCUGAUUAGAGGUAGACGCAGAGAACUGAAACAUCUUAGUACCUGCAGGAAGAGAAAGAAAAUUCGAUUCCCUGAGUAGCGGCGAGCGAAACGGGAAGAGCCCAAACCAACAAGCUUGCUUGUUGGGGUUGUAGGACUCCAAUAUGGUAGUCUGUUAGUAUAGUUGAAGGAUUUGGAAAAUUCCGCUAAAGAGGGUGAAAGCCCCGUAGACGAAAUGCUAACAACACCUAGGAGGAUCCUGAGUACGGCGGAACACGAGAAAUUCCGUCGGAAUCCGCGGGGACCAUCCCGCAAGGCUAAAUACUCCCUAGUGACCGAUAGUGAACCAGUACCGUGAGGGAAAGGUGAAAAGCACCCCGGAAGGGGAGUGAAAUAGAUCCUGAAACCGUGUGCCUACAACAAGUCAAAGCUCGUUAAUGAGUGAUGGCGUGCCUUUUGUAGAAUGAACCGGCGAGUUACGAUUGCAUGCGAGGUUAAGUCGAAGAGACGGAGCCGCAGCGAAAGCGAGUCUGAAUAGGGCGAA
This 691-nucleotide ribosomal RNA is filed under the name Enterococcus faecalis. RNAcentral's name for it is "partial 23S ribosomal RNA". It matches the Rfam family "Bacterial large subunit ribosomal RNA", at positions 1 to 696 of the family's 2925-position model. The record is from RNAcentral. Lineage: Bacteria; Bacillati; Bacillota; Bacilli; Lactobacillales; Enterococcaceae.